GAGCACUGUUUCGGCAAGGGGGUCAUCCCGACUUACCAACCCGAUGCAAACUGCGAAUACCGGAGAAUGUUAUCACGGGAGACACACGGCGGGUGCUAACGUCCGUCGUGAAGAGGGAAACAACCCAGACCGCCAGCUAAGGUCCCAAAGUCAUGGUUAAGUGGGAAACGAUGUGGGAAGGCCCAGACAGCCAGGAUGUUGGCUUAGAAGCAGCCAUCAUUUAAAGAAAGCGUAAUAGCUCACUGGUCGAGUCGGCCUGCGCGGAAGAUGUAACGGGGCUAAACCAUGCACCGAAGCUGCGGCAGCGACACUAUGUGUUGUUGGGUAGGGGAGCGUUCUGUAAGCCUGUGAAGGUGUGCUGUGAGGCACGCUGGAGGUAUCAGAAGUGCGAAUGCUGACAUAAGUAACGAUAAAGCGGGUGAAAAGCCCGCUCGCCGGAAGACCAAGGGUUCCUGUCCAACGUUAAUCGGGGCAGGGUGAGUCGACCCCUAAGGCGAGGCCGAAAGGCGUAGUCGAUGGGAAACAGGUUAAUAUUCCUGUACUUGGUGUUACUGCGAAGGGGGGACGGAGAAGGCUAUGUUGGCCGGGCGACGGUUGUCCCGGUUUAAGCGUGUAGGCUGGUUUUCCAGGCAAAUCCGGAAAAUCAAGGCUGAGGCGUGAUGACGAGGCACUACGGUGCUGAAGCAACAAAUGCCCUGCUUCCAGGAAAAGCCUCUAAGCAUCAGGUAACAUCAAAUCGUACCCCAAACCGACACAGGUGGUCAGGUAGAGAAUACCAAGGCGCUUGAGAGAACUCGGGUGAAGGAACUAGGCAAAAUGGUGCCGUAACUUCGGGAGAAGGCACGCUGAUAUGUAGGUGAAGUCCCUCGCGGAUGGAGCUGAAAUCAGUCGAAGAUACCAGCUGGCUGCAACUGUUUAUUAAAAACACAGCACUGUGCAAACACGAAAGUGGACGUAUACGGUGUGACGCCUGCCCGGUGCCGGAAGGUUAAUUGAUGGGGUCAGCGCAAGCGAAGCUCUUGAUCGAAGCCCCGGUAAACGGCGGCCGUAACUAUAACGGUCCUAAGGUAGCGAAAUUCCUUGUCGGGUAAGUUCCGACCUGCACGAAUGGCGUAAUGAUGGCCAGGCUGUCUCCACCCGAGACUCAGUGAAAUUGAACUCGCUGUGAAGAUGCAGUGUACCCGCGGCAAGACGGAAAGACCCCGUGAACCUUUACUAUAGCUUGACACUGAACAUUGAGCCUUGAUGUGUAGGAUAGGUGGGAGGCUUUGAAGUGUGGACGCCAGUCUGCAUGGAGCCGACCUUGAAAUACCACCCUUUAAUGUUUGAUGUUCUAACGUGGACCCGUAAUCCG
This 1354-nucleotide ribosomal RNA is filed under the name Escherichia coli. Its description in RNAcentral is "partial 23S ribosomal RNA". It matches the Rfam family "Bacterial large subunit ribosomal RNA", at positions 905 to 2242 of the family's 2925-position model. The record is from RNAcentral. Lineage: Bacteria; Pseudomonadati; Pseudomonadota; Gammaproteobacteria; Enterobacterales; Enterobacteriaceae.